AACAAAACAGGCAAGGCAAAUAGGUUUCUUUCCUGGAGCUUGGAUACACUCUUAUCCUGCCCUUGGUCAGCAGAACUCCAGGCUCGCUGGCCUUUGGACUCUAGGACUUACACCAGCAACCCCCACUCCUACCCCAGGUUUUCAGGCCCUGGAACUUGGCCUGAACAACACUACUGGCAUUCCAGGAUCCCCAGCAUGUAGAUGGCUGUCACAGGACUUCUCAGCCUCAGUAAUCAGGAUCUCAGGCCCUGGAACUUGGACUGAGCAACACUACUGGCAUUCCAGGGUCCCCCAUAUGUAGACGGCUGUCACGGGACUUCUCAGAUUCCAUAAUCAGGAAUGCUUUUCCUCCUCCA
This 356-nucleotide long non-coding RNA is filed under the name Homo sapiens (human). Its description in RNAcentral is "HSALNT0183696". The record is from RNAcentral. Lineage: Eukaryota; Metazoa; Chordata; Mammalia; Primates; Hominidae.